GACGUAGGGCGCGAGCGUUGUCCGGAUUUAUUGGGCGUAAAGAGCUCGUAGGCGGCUUGUCGCGUCGUCUGUGAAAUCCCGCGGCUCAACUGCGGGUCUGCAGGUGAUACGGGCAGGCUAGAGUUCGGUAGGGGAGACUGGAAUUCCUGGUGUAGCGGUGAAAUGCGCAGAUAUCAGGAGGAACACCGGUGGCGAAGGCGGGUCUCUGGGCCGAUACUGACGCUGAGGAGCGAAAGCGUGGGGAGCGAACAGG
This 253-nucleotide ribosomal RNA is filed under the name uncultured bacterium. RNAcentral's name for it is "partial 16S ribosomal RNA". It matches the Rfam family "Bacterial small subunit ribosomal RNA", at positions 524 to 776 of the family's 1533-position model. The record is from RNAcentral.